GCAUUUGAUCAUCGGAAUCUAUCUGUGAAACAAAAACAUGAGCAUCAGACACUAGAUUUGAUGCGGUUUCAAAUAUAUGGUGAGAAUCAAGAGCCAACAAGCAACAACCAGAUGACCAAAAAAAAAUAUCCAAGGAACAAACAGAUCCAUAUGAUAUCCUGACCAAUGAUUUAGCUACAGUUUGAACGUUUAUUCUAAUUUUCCAUGUUUUUUCAAGAUAAUCAAUCUAUUCAAACAAGAACCGAGAUUUUUCACUGAUUUUAUGCAUUAAAUUUCUUUUCCCUAGAAGAUUGAUAUGGUUGUUUUUCAAAAGUUGAUUAACAGACGUUGUAGCAGUAAAGGGAACUUCAGAUCAUUAUAGCGCAUGUAGAGCCUACAGGACCUUUAACAAGGUUAUCAUUACCCAAUGUCUUCUAGACAUCUAAUAACUUCCACACUAAACUCUACUGGUUAGAAUGGAUUGGUAGAGUCAGAUGAACCUCAUGAGGAUAUAAUGUUGAGCCAAUUCAAAAACCAUAAAUAUAUACAUGCACUCACACACACAAGCUUAUGGAUUUGAAGAAUUAUUAGAUAAAUAGACCAUGUUUUAUGACAAAAUUUG
RNAcentral lists this unclassified non-coding RNA (601 nucleotides) under Hevea brasiliensis (rubber tree). The record is from RNAcentral. Lineage: Eukaryota; Viridiplantae; Streptophyta; Magnoliopsida; Malpighiales; Euphorbiaceae.